UCAGGAGAGAAGCUGUGCUGCUGAU
Molecule: non-coding RNA, 25 nt
Filed under: Mus musculus (house mouse)
Lineage: Eukaryota; Metazoa; Chordata; Mammalia; Rodentia; Muridae
Source: RNAcentral